This 133-nucleotide unclassified non-coding RNA is filed under the name uncultured Rhodotorula. RNAcentral's name for it is "sequence contains ITS1". Lineage: Eukaryota; Fungi; Basidiomycota. The record is from RNAcentral.
AUGAAUUUUAGGACUCUCUUUUUAGAGGUCCGACCCUUUCAUUUCCUUACACUGUGCACACACUUCUUUUCACACAUUUUAACACUAUAGUAUAAGAAUGUAACAGUCUCUUUAUUGAGCAUAAAUAAAAAUA